CAGUGCUGCAUGGCUGUCGUCAGCUCGUGUCGUGAGAUGUUGGUUAAGUCCCGCAACGAGCGCAACCCUCGCCUUUAGUUGCCAGCAUUCAGUUGGGCACUCUAAAGGGACUGCCGGUGUCAAACCGGAGGAAGGUGGGAUGACGUCAAGUCCUCAUGGCCUUUAUGUCUAGGGCUACACACGUACUACAAUGGCAGGUACAAAGGGCAGCGACACAGCGAUGUGAUGCGAAUCCCGAAAAGCCUGUCUCAGUCCGGAUCGGAGUCUGCAACUCGACUCCGUGAAGUUGGAAUCGCUAGUAAUCGUGGAUCAGCAUGCCACGGUGAAUACGUUCCCGGGCCUU
RNAcentral lists this ribosomal RNA (343 nucleotides) under uncultured Desulfovibrio sp. RNAcentral's name for it is "bacterial SSU rRNA". It matches the Rfam family "Bacterial small subunit ribosomal RNA", at positions 1036 to 1382 of the family's 1533-position model. The record is from RNAcentral. Lineage: Bacteria; Pseudomonadati; Thermodesulfobacteriota; Desulfovibrionia; Desulfovibrionales; Desulfovibrionaceae.